RNAcentral lists this ribosomal RNA (1758 nucleotides) under Triticum aestivum (bread wheat). RNAcentral describes it as "partial small subunit ribosomal RNA". Lineage: Eukaryota; Viridiplantae; Streptophyta; Magnoliopsida; Poales; Poaceae. The record is from RNAcentral.
AUGGGCAGCGGGUCGAUCUCGUCGGACAUGGAGAUGCUGAUGGAGGAGAUCAUCUCCCUGCGGAGAGAGCGGAAAGACCUCAUGGAGUCUCUUACUCCCAAGAUUUCUUGCUGGAGGGAUCAGAUCUCUGGAGCGGCAAUCUCGUCCUUCCAUAAGAUGGACUCACAGCAGCAGCAGCAGCAGGUAUACUUGACAGACGACUUCGAUAUCCUGGAGGACGUCGAGGAUUUGGGCCAGCGGAUGCUAUCUUUGGCACAUUCUCUUUCGACCUCCCAUGCCCCCAUCUCCUUGUACAAGGCGGACGAGCUGGUUAGCACAGCAUCCAAAUUAGAGAGGAUCUCGCUGGAUUUCUGCAAUUCUACCGAGGCGCCAAUGGAGGAGGCAGCCGAGGAGGAGAGGUAUAGGAUGAUGGAGAUUCGGAAGACAGAAGGAGAAGGUACUGCUGAGGAGUUGGAUGAAGAGAUGGAGAUAAAGAAGACGAAGCAGACUCGGGAGAAGAAGAUGAGGAAUGAUGAUGAGCUGAGCAAGCUUUCUCUGUCCAACGAAUUCUUGCAACUCUCCUCCAGUGUCCUGGAUAGACCCUACUGCUACAAGAAUGAGUUGGCCAUGCUGUUUACGGUGGAGGAAGAGGAGGAGUAUGAGAGGGUGAUGGAGGCGGAGAGGGAGAUGGAGAGGCAGAGGGAGAACUGCAGGCGGCGGAGAAGAAAGAAGAGGCCCCCGAAGAAGCCUCUGAUUGUGGAGGUGGAGCACGCUGCUGACGAGCAGGAAACAAAAUCUCAAACGGAGCAACUCAAGGAGUGGAUGGAUGAUGAGCUGGAAUUUUUCGCAGGCCACCGUAGCAUCUGGGAACGCUCUAGUGGCAGCAAGGCCGGGCGGUGCGGCGGCUUCGAAGAUAAAACGACAUUAAGUCCUCUCCAAUUUACGCACUGCACACCCGGUAUCCUUCUGCCCCGUGCCGCUGUCACUGAAAGAACGUUGCAAAUCUACUCAUUCAAACUUGUUGGACUAACGGAGCAGCUGAAGUGGCCACUCUGUGUUUAUGGCGUGGUUGCUGCCCGAGACACCGUAGACCGCAACCGCAACCUUCUCUUCUCUCGGUCGAGGAUCAGGGGUCAAUUACUCUCUGGACAUGACUCUUAUCUGCGCUUGACUGGCCCGUCUCGAGCAAUUCUAGUUGGGGAUUAUGUUGACUUUGAAGUUGAACUAAAAGUACGUGAUGGAGAUAAUGAGCACAAUGAUACACAGUUGAUGUGUGUUAGCAAGCGGUAUAAAGAAGCAGAUGGUGACGGUGAGCAACCUUUACUCUUCGAUAGCCCAUUCUGCACUGCGGAGUCGAGGUUUGAGCUUAUUCCUACGACGGUCCAGCUCACUGUAUUGUCCGUUCGUGUUGUUGGAGGGGAGUUCCCUUUUAGCUCUGGGGGUCAGGUUGCUUGUAUUGUUUCUGGCCGUGAGAGGGUUGUGCUGUUUGAUUCUACUGAAAAAAUUACUAGAGAAGACCAAGUAGUUUUGGAUGGUUAUGUUCCUUUGUCAAGAAACGCCGUUUCAGUAGAGUUCGAAAAAGGAGUGACUGUUGAGGUAACAGCCUAUGCUGAUUCUGGUUCUAUCUCUGAUCGUGUCCACUUCCCUUCCAAGUGGUGCAACAUUAGUCAGGAUAGAUGUUUCAUCUGUGGUUCUGAGGUGGAGAUUACGGUUGCAUGGUCCCGGGUUGUGAGAGACAAGAUGGAGAUGUUGCUGGAGGGAUACGCCACCCAGGUGUAG